CAUAGGUUAAUGAGGCGAACCGGGGGAACUGAAACAUCUAAGUACCCCGAGGAAAAGAAAUCAACCGAGAUUCCCCCAGUAGCGGCGAGCGAACGGGGAGGAGCCCAGAGCCUGAAUCAGUGUGUGUGUUAGUGGAAGCGUCUGGAAAGGCGCGCGAUACAGGGUGACAGCCCCGUACACAAAAAUGCACAUAUUGUGAGCUCGAUGAGUAGGGCGGGACACGUGGUAUCCUGUCUGAAUAUGGGGGGACCAUCCUCCAAGGCUAAAUACUCCUGACUGACCGAUAGUGAACCAGUACCGUGAGGGAAAGGCGAAAAGAACCCCGGCGAGGGGAGUGAAAAAGAACCUGAAACCGUGUACGUACAAGCAGUGGGAGCCUCUUUAUGGGGUGACUGCGUACCUUUUGUAUAAUGGGUCAGCGACUUAUAUUCUGUAGCAAGGUUAACCGAAUAGGGGAGCCGAAGGGAAACCGAGUCUUAACUGGGCGUUAAGUUGCAGGGUAUAGACCCGAAACCCGGUGAUCUAGCCAUGGGCAGGUUGAAGGUUGGGUAACACUAACUGGAGGACCGAACCGACUAAUGUUGAAAAAUUAGCGGAUGACUUGUGGCUGGGGGUGAAAGGCCAAUCAAACCGGGAGAUAGCUGGUUCUCCCCGAAAGCUAUUUAGGUAGCGCCUCGUGAAUUCAUCUCCGGGGGUAGAGCACUGUUUCGGCAAGGGGGUCAUCCCGACUUACCAACCCGAUGCAAACUGCGAAUACCGGAGAAUGUUAUCACGGGAGACACACGGCGGGUGCUAACGUCCGUCGUGAAGAGGGAAACAACCCAGACCGCCAGCUAAGGUCCCAAAGUCAUGGUUAAGUGGGAAACGAUGUGGGAAGGCCCAGACAGCCAGGAUGUUGGCUUAGAAGCAGCCAUCAUUUAAAGAAAGCGUAAUAGCUCACUGGUCGAGUCGGCCUGCGCGGAAGAUGUAACGGGGCUAAACCAUGCACCGAAGCUGCGGCAGCGACACUAUGUGUUGUUGGGUAGGGGAGCGUUCUGUAAGCCUGUGAAGGUGGCCUGUGAGGGUUGCUGGAGGUAUCAGAAGUGCGAAUGCUGACAUAAGUAACGAUAAAGCGGGUGAAAAGCCCGCUCGCCGGAAGACCAAGGGUUCCUGUCCAACGUUAAUCGGGGCAGGGUGAGUCGACCCCUAAGGCGAGGCCGAAAGGCGUAGUCGAUGGGAAACAGGUUAAUAUUCCUGUACUUGGUGUUACUGCGAAGGGGGGACGGAGAAGGCUAUGUUGGCCGGGCGACGGUUGUCCCGGUUUAAGCGUGUAGGCUGGUUUUCCAGGCAAAUCCGGAAAACCAAGGCUGAGGCGUGAUGACGAGGCACUACGGUGCUGAAGCGACAAAUGCCCUGCUUCCAGGAAAAGCCUCUAAGCAUCAGGUAACAUCAAAUCGUACCCCAAACCGACACAGGUGGUCAGGUAGAGAAUACCAAGGCGCUUGAGAGAACUCGGGUGAAGGAACUAGGCAAAAUGGUGCCGUAACUUCGGGAGAAGGCACGCUGAUAUGUAGGUGAAGCGACUUGCUCGUGGAGCUGAAAUCAGUCGAAGAUACCAGCUGGCUGCAACUGUUUAUUAAAAACACAGCACUGUGCAAACACGAAAGUGGACGUAUACGGUGUGACGCCUGCCCGGUGCCGGAAGGUUAAUUGAUGGGGUUAGCGGUAACGCGAAGCUCUUGAUCGAAGCCCCGGUAAACGGCGGCCGUAACUAUAACGGUCCUAAGGUAGCGAAAUUCCUUGUCGGGUAAGUUCCGACCUGCACGAAUGGCGUAAUGAUGGCCAGGCUGUCUCCACCCGAGACUCAGUGAAAUUGAACUCGCUGUGAAGAUGCAGUGUACCCGCGGCAAGACGGAAAGACCCCGUGAACCUUUACUAUAGCUUGACACUGAACAUUGAGCCUUGAUGUGUAGGAUAGGUGGGAGGCUUUGAAGUGUGGACGCCAGUCUGCAUGGAGCCGACCUUGAAAUACCACCCUUUAAUGUUUGAUGUUCUAACGUUGGCCCGUAAUCCGGGUUGCGGACAGUGUCUGGUGGGUAGUUUGACUGGGGCGGUCUCCUCCUAAAGAGUAACGGAGGAGCACGAAGGUUGGCUAAUCCUGGUCGGACAUCAGGAGGUUAGUGCAAUGGCAUAAGCCAGCUUGACUGCGAGCGUGACGGCGCGAGCAGGUGCGAAAGCAGGUCAUAGUGAUCCGGUGGUUCUGAAUGGAAGGGCCAUCGCUCAACGGAUAAAAGGUACUCCGGGGAUAACAGGCUGAUACCGCCCAAGAGUUCAUAUCGACGGCGGUGUUUGGCACCUCGAUGUCGGCUCAUCACAUCCUGGGGCUGAAGUAGGUCCCAAGGGUAUGGCUGUUCGCCAUUUAAAGUGGUACGCGAGCUGGGUUUAGAACGUCGUGAGACAGUUCGGUCCCUAUCUGCCGUGGGCGCUGGAGAACUGAGGGGGGCUGCUCCUAGUACGAGAGGACCGGAGUGGACGCAUCACUGGUGUUCGGGUUGUCAUGCCAAUGGCACUGCCCGGUAGCUAAAUGCGGAAGAGAUAAGUGCUGAAAGCAUCUAAGCACGAAACUUGCCCCGAGAUGAGUUCUCCCUGACUCCUUGAGAGUCCUGAAGGA
This 2650-nucleotide ribosomal RNA is filed under the name Escherichia coli. Its description in RNAcentral is "partial 23S ribosomal RNA". It matches the Rfam family "Bacterial large subunit ribosomal RNA". Lineage: Bacteria; Pseudomonadati; Pseudomonadota; Gammaproteobacteria; Enterobacterales; Enterobacteriaceae. The record is from RNAcentral.